UACAGAGGGUGCAAACGUUGCUCGGAAUUAUUGGGCGUAAAGCGCGCGUAGGUGGUCUGAUAAGUCGGGUGUGAAAGCCCUCGGCUUAACCGAGGAAGUGCAUUCGAAACUGUCAGACUUGAGUACUGAAGAGGAUCGCGGAAUUCCCGGUGUAGAGGUGAAAUUCGUAGAUAUCGGGAGGAACACCAGUGGCGAAGGCGGCGAUCUGGGCAGAUACUGACACUGAGGCGCGAAAGCGUGGGGAGCAAACAGG
Molecule: ribosomal RNA, 253 nt
Filed under: uncultured bacterium
Lineage: Bacteria
Description: partial 16S ribosomal RNA
Rfam family: Bacterial small subunit ribosomal RNA
Source: RNAcentral